AUCUUAAAUUGUGUUGUGUAUAAAAGGAAAUUUGAUUUAUUAAAUUAUAGUUUAUACACAAUACAAUGUAUCUGUUAUCAAUGAUUUCAGCAGGCAGGUAUCUAGUCUAUUCUUAGGCAAUUACAUAACAUCUAUUUUUAGCUUAGUAGGAAUAGUGCCCUAGAGGGGGGUUAGAGUAUUGUUGAUGAAUUGAGAGGAAGCAUCGUUGUAUUUGAUGCAAUUACAAUCAGUUAUCCCACCCACCAGCCCCAACUACACCUGUGCAUUAACUGGGUAUUUAGCUUAUGUGAUAGGUAUGAUAUGGAUGUAUUAAAUAUGUAUAAAUUUAAAGGUGUUACUCUAAGUUACAGUCAGACCAAUAUUGUGUAAUUCUGACUGCAAGUUCUUG
Molecule: long non-coding RNA, 388 nt
Filed under: Mytilus galloprovincialis (Mediterranean mussel)
Lineage: Eukaryota; Metazoa; Mollusca; Bivalvia; Mytilida; Mytilidae
Source: RNAcentral